RNAcentral lists this ribosomal RNA (431 nucleotides) under uncultured soil bacterium. RNAcentral's name for it is "bacterial SSU rRNA". It matches the Rfam family "Bacterial small subunit ribosomal RNA", at positions 960 to 1393 of the family's 1533-position model. The record is from RNAcentral.
CGCGAAGAACCUUACCAAGGCUUGACAUGCACGGGAAAGUUCCAGAGAUGGUUCCCCCGCAAGGUCCGUGCACAGGUGGUGCAUGGUUGUCGUCAGCUCGUGUCGUGAGAUGUUGGGUUAAGUCCCGCAACGAGCGCAACCCUUGUCUUAUGUUGCCAGCGCGUUAUGGCGGGGACUCAUAAGAGACUGCCGGGGUCAACUCGGAGGAAGGUGGGGAUGACGUCAAAUCAUCAUGCCCCUUAUGUCUUGGGCUUCACGCAUGCUACAAUGGCCGGUACAAAGGGCUGCGAAACCGUGGGGUGGAGCGAAUCCCAAAAAGCCGGUCUCAGUUCGGAUUAGGGUCUGCAACUCGACCCCAUGAAGUCGGAGUCGCUAGUAAUCGCAGAUCAGCAACGCUGCGGUGAAUACGUUCCCGGGUCUUGUACACACGC